AUGUCCACCGCACCCUCCGAACUCGUCCUUUACAACCUCGUCACCGCCCAAACCCUAAACCCCAGCCCCUCCCCCGCCGCCGCCGCCGCCCCCCUCGCCGCCGACGGCUCCUCCGGCCCAGCCGCCGCCGCGCGCCGGGCGCGCCCGCGCCGGCCCUCGGACCGCCACGCCAAGGUCGCCGGCCGCGGCCGCCGGGUCCGCAUCCCGGCCAUGGUCGCCGCGCGCGUCUUCCAGCUCACCCGCGAGCUCGGCCACCGCACCGACGGCGAGACCAUCGAGUGGCUGCUCCGCCAGGCCGAGCCCUCCAUCAUCGCCGCCACCGGCACCGGCGUCACCCCGCAGGAGGCGCCCCCCGCCGCCGUCCCCGUCGCCGGCGCCCCGUUCGUGCAGGUGCCCUACUACACCGCGCUCCUCAUGCAGCCGCCCAGCGCCGACGAGCCGCCCCUCGCGUCCGCGCCGCCCGCCGGCGAGGAGAACAAGUAA
Molecule: ribosomal RNA, 483 nt
Filed under: Triticum aestivum (bread wheat)
Lineage: Eukaryota; Viridiplantae; Streptophyta; Magnoliopsida; Poales; Poaceae
Description: partial small subunit ribosomal RNA
Source: RNAcentral